AAUACCGGAUAAGGCGUGGCGGUCUUCGGACUGCUUCGCGAAAAGCCUCGCAAAGGGGGCACCAGAGGACGAGCCCGCGGCCCAUCAGCUAGUUGGUGAGGUAAUGGCUCACCAAGGCGAAGACGGGUAGCUGGUCUGAGAGGAUGAUCAGCCACACUGGAACUGAGACACGGUCCAGACUCCUACGGGAGGCAGCAGUGGGGAAUAUUGCGCAAUGGCGAAAGCCUGACGCAGCCACGCCGCGUGUGCGAUGAAGGUCUUCGGAUCGUAAAGCACUGUGGGGAGAGAAGAAUCAAGUCGGUGAAGAGCCGACCCUGACGGUAUCUCCUUAGCAAGCACCGGCUAACUCCGUGCCAGCAGCCGCGGUAA
Molecule: ribosomal RNA, 369 nt
Filed under: uncultured delta proteobacterium
Lineage: Bacteria; Deltaproteobacteria
Description: bacterial SSU rRNA
Rfam family: Bacterial small subunit ribosomal RNA
Source: RNAcentral